RNAcentral lists this transfer RNA (72 nucleotides) under Candidatus Woesearchaeota archaeon. RNAcentral describes it as "tRNA-Asn". It matches the Rfam family "tRNA". From Rfam's summary of the family: Transfer RNA (tRNA) molecules are approximately 80 nucleotides in length. Lineage: Archaea; Nanobdellati; Candidatus Woesearchaeota. The record is from RNAcentral.
GCCUCCGUAGCUUAGUGGUGGAGCGCGAGACUGUUAAUCUUGAGGUCGGCGGUUCGAGCCCGCCCGGAGGCG